GGAUGAGUUGCGAACGGGUGAGUAAACGCGUAGGUAACCUGCCUGGUAGCGGGGGAUAACUAUUGGAAACGAUAGCUAAUACCGCAUAAUAUUGACUAUUGCAUGAUAGGUGAUUAAAAGGUGCAAUUGCAUCACUACCAGAUGGACCUGCGUUGUAUUAGCUAGUUGGUGAGGUAACGGCUCACCAAGGCGACGAUACAUAGCCGACCUGAGAGGGUGAUCGGCCACACUGGGACUGAGACACGGCCCAGACUCCUACGGGAGGCAGCAGUAGGGAAUCUUCGGCAAUGGACGGAAGUCUGACCGAGCAACGCCGCGUGAGUGAAGAAGGUUUUCGGAUCGUAAAGCUCUGUUGUAAGAGAAGAACGAGUGUGAGAGUGGAAAGUUCACACUGUGACGGUAUCUUACCAGAAAGGGACGGCUAACUACGUGCCAGCAGCCGCGGUAAUACGUAGGUCCCGAUCGUUGUCCGGAUUUAUUGGGCGUAAAGCGAGCGCAGGCGGUUAGAUAAGUCUGAAGUUAAAGGCUGUGGCUUAACCAUAGUACGCUUUGGAAACUGUUUAACUUGAGUGCAAGAGGGGAGAGUGGAAUUCCAUGUGUAGCGGUGAAAUGCGUAGAUAUAUGGAGGAACACCGGGGGCGAAAGCGGCUCUCUGGCUUGUAACUGACGCUGAGGCUCGAAAGCGUGGGGAGCGAACAGGAUUAGAUACCCUGGUAGUCCACGCCGUAAACGAUGAGUGCUAAGUGUUAGACCCUUUCCGGGGUUUAGUGCCGCAGCUAACGCAUUAAGCACUCCGCCUGGGGAGUACGACCGCAAGGUUGAAACUCAAAGGAAUUGACGGGGGCCCGCACAAGCGGUGGAGCAUGUGGUUUAAUUCGAAGCAACGCGAAGAACCUUACCAGGUCUUGACAUCCCUCUGACCACUCUAGAGAUAGAGUUUUCCUUCGGGACAGAGGUGACAGGUGGUGCAUGGUUGUCGUCAGCUCGUGUCGUGAGAUGUUGGGUUAAGUCCCCGCAACGAGCGCAACCCCUAUUGUUAGUUGCCAUCAUUUAGUUGGGCACUCUAGCGAGACUGCCGGUAAUAAACCGGAGGAAGGUGGGGAUGACGUCAAAUCAUCAUGCCCCUUAUGACCUGGGCUACACACGUGCUACAAUGGCUGGUACAACGAGUCGCAAGCCGGUGACGGCAAGCUAAUCUCUUAAAGCCCGUCUCAAUUCGGAUUGUAGGCUGCAACUCGCCUACAUGAAGUCGGAAUCGCUAGUAAUCGCGGAUCAGCACGCCGCGGUGAAUACGUUCCCGGGCCUUGUACACACCGCCCGUCACACCACGAGAGUUUGUAACACCCGAAGUCGGUGAGGUAACCUUUUAGGAGCCAGCCGCCUAAGGUGGGAUAGAUGAUUGGGGUGAAGUCGUAACAAGGUAGCCGUAUCGGAAGGUGCGGCUGGAACACCUCCUUC
This 1458-nucleotide ribosomal RNA is filed under the name Streptococcus sp. DP42. RNAcentral describes it as "bacterial SSU rRNA". It matches the Rfam family "Bacterial small subunit ribosomal RNA". The record is from RNAcentral. Lineage: Bacteria; Bacillati; Bacillota; Bacilli; Lactobacillales; Streptococcaceae.